Molecule: non-coding RNA, 1949 nt
Organism: Bactrocera oleae (olive fruit fly)
Lineage: Eukaryota; Metazoa; Arthropoda; Insecta; Diptera; Tephritidae
Source: RefSeq, a predicted model, not a curated record
UAUAUCGAUCCAUUUAUUGCAUUUAAGUGAAAAAGAAAAGGAAAGUCACUUCGGAUGUUUGCGUCUUACAGUUUUAUAUAUUCCGUAUUGAUAUUAAUAUUCCAGGAGCUGAUCAUUCUAGUUGUUAACUAUAAUUUUUCAGUGGAUUCGUGAAUAAUUUUAUACAAUAACAUCACUAAUGUUUACGAUAAAUCAUCCGUAGCGAAACAGUAAAUUUAACUUGAUAACAAAAGUGUAUAAAAAAUUCGAAAUUCUUGUCUUAUCAUACUUUUAUUUAUCUGUUUUGCUUUUAGUAGUUCUUUAAUCAAAAAUUGUCAGAAUGAGUGAUGGAAGAGAGCAGAAAUUAAAAGAGAAGAACAGAAAGAUGUCAUCCGACAAACAGUAAUUUUUUUAUAAAUAAGAGUGAAAGCAGUAUUUUGAGCGGAAACUUCAAAUAUAAGUCUUAAUACAAUGCAAUCUGAAGAAAAAGAGACCGAUAAAUACUCUGCUGUUUGUGACAGCGUGGCUGAAGCGGAUUCAUCUGUAAGUCCAACAAUUGAAGAUUCGUCUCAGAGUCAAACGUCGAGUCCUAACGACGUCGAAAUAGUACAAACAAUCAAAAGUCUAAAUAAAGAUCCCGCUAUGGAUAAUUAAUAAUAACUUGAGGGAUAUUAUCUAUCUUCCAAAGAAAAAUGAAAAACAAUGAAGUGAAAGAUCGAAAUUGGUUAGUUUACUCUGAAGAUAACAGAUCUGUAUAUUGGGGACCGUGUUUGGCAUUUGGUCCAUUGGAGUGUAUAAUUCAAUUUGAGAACGGAAGAUUCAAUGACUGCAAAAAUGCAGAUCAUCGAGUAGCUCAGCAUGACAACUCUGUGCGUCAUAAAUCUAGUAUUCUUAGUUUGAAAGAUAGAAAUAAUAAGAUUGAUGAAGAAAUAACUUACUGGAGAAACGUUCUGAUGAGAGUUGUUGCUGUCGUAAAGCCAUUGUGUUCAAGAGGUUUCGCUUUUAGAGGGAAAAAUAAAAUUUGGAGAUCCACAUAAUGGAAAUUAUUGUAUGGUUUUGGAACUAUUAGCAGAAUUCGAUCCUUUUCUGGUUCAUCAUAUUGAAAGGUUUGGAAAUCAAGGAUCAGGGAGUACCAGUUACUUAUCGAACACCACUUGCGAUAAAUGUAUGCUCUUGAUGGGUCAGAAAGUUUUAAAGAAGAUUGGAGAUGAAAUAAAAAAAGCUAAAUAUUUUUCGCUAAUCAAUGAUUCAACACCAGAUAUAGCCCACAUAGAUAAACUCACGGUCGUUGUUAGAUACGUUUUGGAUUCUGGUGGGACAUAACGCUGAAGAAAUGUUUUCUGCCGUUAUUUUAGAACAAAAAACACUGGGUAUAAAUAUUGCAGACUGUCACGGACAGUCAUAUGAUAAUGCCGCGAACAUGUAUGGCGUGAGACCAAGCACCUUUGGUCUUUUACGUGCCUUGUUUUGUUGGAGGAAACGUUUCGUAAUGAUUUAGAGACAGACACAGUUCAGGAAUGCGUACACUUUCAAGCCUAUCUGUUCUCUGAAAGAAUUUUAAUAAAACCAAAAUCUGGAUCAUUGAAAAGUUUGUCUUCGUUUAUGCGACAACAAAAUUUAGAAAAUAUUUAAACUUGGAUAUAGCAUUUCGUAUUGCUUUAUGUACACCAGCAAAAAAUUGUUCUGGUGAGAGAAGUUGUUCUUGCUUGAAGAGAGUCAAGAACUAUCUACGAUCGACUUUAAGUCAAGAAAAGCUAAACACUUUGAUUCUUUUAUGUAUAGAGUCAGAACUAAUCAACAAGAUUUCAUUCGACGACAUAAUCAAUGAUUUUGCGAAUUCAAAGUCCCACAAAAAGUAAUUGUAAUGCUUUUAUAAUUUAACCUUAUUUUUAAUACUAACAGAUAAUUAAAAAAGUAGAAUUAUUAUUAUGUUCUUAGAUUGUAAUUGUAACACAAAAUAUUUAUCAACG